CGGAUCUGGUAAUUCAUUUCUGAAUUUUAACUUGCAAAGAAAUGUUGUCGGCUUCUUCAACCGGUUUUCUGUCCUCUCUCCACUUAACAAAGGGGUGGUUCUUCUGUCAGCCAUAUGUGAUGCGCUGAUCGACCCAUGACCCUUCGUACCAGAAGUUAACAUUUGGGUUUUCUGCAGAACCUUAUUCUGUGAUUCUUUCAAAUGCUGCCUAUUCUUCUCUUCAUGCCUUUGCUUUUCUAUCUCUCUCUUCUUCCUUGACCUCCUCUCUUCCUCAGUCUCAACCCUUCCUGAAUGAGCAUUGGAUUUUUUCAUUGGCAAUGGGGGAACAGAAUGGUCUGGCUGUUUAGAACGAGCAGUGUGGUUACCAUGCCUUGAUUCACGCCAACCAGACUCUCGCCUUUUCUCUACACUGUGCCUG
This 418-nucleotide unclassified non-coding RNA is filed under the name Hevea brasiliensis (rubber tree). The record is from RNAcentral. Lineage: Eukaryota; Viridiplantae; Streptophyta; Magnoliopsida; Malpighiales; Euphorbiaceae.